Long non-coding RNA from Bombyx mori (domestic silkworm), 588 nucleotides. RefSeq lists it as uncharacterized. The transcript is spliced from 3 exons. Lineage: Eukaryota; Metazoa; Arthropoda; Insecta; Lepidoptera; Bombycidae. The record is from RefSeq and is a predicted model, not a curated record.
AUGUCAACUUUUAAUGAAACGUCAUUUUCCAGCUAACUAAAUGUUUGAAAAUAGUGCAGGAAGAACGACGACGAAGGAAGUGAAUAAUAUAGUAAAUAACAACACGACCGAAGCUAUCCAUAUACUUAUUUUACUGAUUAAUAUUACAAAUGUGAAGAUGUGUUUUUCUUUCUGUGUAUUUGUUUGUCAUUCUUUCACUUCGAAAUGAAACAACGGAUUAAUAUUGUUUCUUUUAAAUUAUUUUUAUGUUAUCAUUGUCCGAGACUGGCCGUCAUACCUGAGGGGUCAAGAUCAGUUGUCAGUCAGUUUAAUGAAAGUUUGAAAAUACCGUGGAUACCUAAGAGCUCGUCUAUUUAAUCUCUCAAGAACAACAGCAUCACCAAUAUGAGACAACGACAGGGAUAUGAAGGAAAAAAACUAAUAAUAAUUCUAUUUUUAAUCGAGUAUCCAAGUCGAUCGAUAGAUAAACGUCAUCGAGAAAGUUUUGUAACGCCAUCGUGACGAUGACUGCACCAGGUGCAGUGCCAAACGGGUUCACUCGUUGUCGCAACGUUGAUUCAUUCAUUAAUAAAUAAAUUAAUUUAAAAA